RNAcentral lists this ribosomal RNA (506 nucleotides) under uncultured bacterium. RNAcentral describes it as "partial 16S ribosomal RNA". It matches the Rfam family "Bacterial small subunit ribosomal RNA", at positions 29 to 523 of the family's 1533-position model. The record is from RNAcentral.
AGUGAACGCUGGCGGUAGGCCUAACACAUGCAAGUCGAACGGCAGCACAGAGGAGCUUGCUCCUUGGGUGGCGAGCGGCGGACGGGUGCGGAAUACAUCGGAAUCUACUCUGUAGUGGGGGAUAACGUAGGGAAACUUACGCUAAUACCGCAUACGACCUACGGGUGAAAGCAGGGGAUCUUUGGACCUUGCGCGAUUGAAUGAGCCGAGGUCGGAUUAGCUAGUUGGCGGGGUAAAGGCCCACCAAGGCGACGAUCCGUAGCUGGUCUGAGAGGAGGAUCAGACACACUGGAAGUGAGACACGGUCCAGACGCCUACUGGAGGACACGGUGGAGACUAGUGGACAAUGCAGGCAAGCCUGAUCCAGCCAUACCGCGUGGGUGAAGAAGGCGUUCGGGUUGUGAAGCCCUUUUGUUGGGAAAGAAAUCCAUCUGGUUAAUACCCGGGUGGGAUGACGGUACCCAAAGAAUAAGCACCGGCUAACUUCGUGCCAGCCGCCGCGGUAA